Molecule: transfer RNA, 63 nt
Filed under: Heterocephalus glaber (naked mole-rat)
Lineage: Eukaryota; Metazoa; Chordata; Mammalia; Rodentia; Bathyergidae
Rfam family: tRNA
About the family: Transfer RNA (tRNA) molecules are approximately 80 nucleotides in length. Their secondary structure includes four short double-helical elements and three loops (D, anti-codon, and T loops).
Source: Rfam by way of RNAcentral
GUGUAGUUCAGUAGUAGAGUGCUUGCCUGGAAUGCAUGAGACCCUGGGUUCAAUUCCCAGCAC